GGUUAACUGACUGAGCUACCCAGGCACCCCUGUGAACUAUUUUAAAAUAUGUGGUUUAAAUAAAUUAUUCAAUACAAUGUAAAAUAUAGCAACUGUUGUACUUAAAAUGAUAUGUAGAACAACAAAAACUGAUCUACAGCCUCUUCUCUAAGAAGAAUCCCAAGGGAAUUGAAUGUGGAGCAGUGUGGAUCAAGGAGCAAAAUGUCUCUUUCUUCCUUUUACAGUUGACCUUUGAACACUGUUUAAACUGCCCUUGUUCACUUAUACAUGGAUUCUUUUUUGAUGAAUACAGUACAAUACUGGUCCUUGAGAAGUAGUCCUUUGACUUCCAGUACAUCAUAAACAGAGGGCAGUCGUGGAAAUAUUUUCAGGAGAUAUUGCACAAGCAGGGACUAGAAUGGGAAGACCGCUUUCUUUGGGAAGCUGGAGAAGAAGUGCUUGACAACUCCAAGGCUUGGAGCCAAGCUAUUCUGAGAUCAUAAAGGAAAAGGGCUCCUUUCUCCCAGAAUUGGUUUCUUCUAAGGUCCAGAAGGCCCUUUGGAUGAGCCAAGCUGGGUUCCUGUGCCAACUCCUGUGGCCGGAGGAGUGGAAUCUUUGACCGGAAAAGGGAUGUCACGCAGAGAGAGAGACAGUGAGAGAGGAAAUACAAGCAGG
This is a long non-coding RNA of Neogale vison (American mink), 654 nucleotides long. RefSeq lists it as uncharacterized. The transcript is spliced from 5 exons. The record is from RefSeq and is a predicted model, not a curated record. Lineage: Eukaryota; Metazoa; Chordata; Mammalia; Carnivora; Mustelidae.